Molecule: microRNA precursor, 99 nt
Filed under: Marmota monax (woodchuck)
Lineage: Eukaryota; Metazoa; Chordata; Mammalia; Rodentia; Sciuridae
Source: RNAcentral
AUAUAAAUCACUUGCAGGAACUUGUGAAAAUGCAGAUUCUGCUCUAUUAUGUGGGACCUGAUGGUAUGCAUUUUUAACAAGUUUCCAGGUGAUGCUAAU